GACGAACGCUGGCGGCGUGCUUAACACAUGCAAGUCGAACGGAGUGGCGAACGGGUGAGUAACACGUGGGUGAUCUGCCUUGCUCUUCGGGAUAAGCUGGGGAAACUGGGUCUAAUACCGGAUAGUGCAAGAUGAUGUCGCGGCCAGUCAGCUUGUGGGUGGGGUAAUGGCCUACCAAGGCGUUGACGGGUAGCCGGCCUGAGAGGGUGUACGGCCACAGUGGGACUGAGAUAGGGCCGAGACGCCUACGGGAGGCAGCAGUGGGGAAUAUUGCACAAUGGGCGGAAGCCUGAUGCAGCGACGCCGCGUGGGGGAUGAAGGCCUUCGGGUUGUAAACUCCUGUCGACAGGGACGCGGUACCUGUAUAAGAAGCACCGGCUAACUACGUGCCAGCAGCCGCGGGAAUAC
Molecule: ribosomal RNA, 408 nt
Filed under: uncultured bacterium
Lineage: Bacteria
Description: partial 16S ribosomal RNA
Rfam family: Bacterial small subunit ribosomal RNA
Source: RNAcentral